This is a long non-coding RNA of Xenia sp. Carnegie-2017, 640 nucleotides long. RefSeq lists it as uncharacterized. The record is from RefSeq and is a predicted model, not a curated record. The transcript has 5 exons. Lineage: Eukaryota; Metazoa; Cnidaria; Anthozoa; Malacalcyonacea; Xeniidae.
UACAGAGUGAUAAAGAGAUGUCAGCAAAUGGCAGAAAACGAUAACACAAAAAUCUAGCUUGUACUAUUAAUUCGUACGGAUAACUAUGGCAUCUACAGAUACUCUAAUACUGGGCAGUACAGUAUCAACUAUUAUUGUCGAACAAGAUUUUACAGGCACCAACAAAACGUGUAUUUGCAAGGUUUGCAGAAGCACGGAGGUGAUCCGGUUUUGACAUUUUGGAAAGCAUUUGGAAUACUGAUAUCGUCUGUCAGAAGCCAUUAGAGAAUUUGAAUCCAUCCAUGAAAGUGAAAAAGUUGUCCUGUGUUGUUUGAUGGCAUUAAUUUAUGCACAUAAAAAAGGCACAAUUAAUUGACAAGGAAAGUGUACAUGAAUUGGAAACAAGAUUGAAAAAGAUUCGAACAAGUGUUGGUGAGAAUGUGCUAUACUUUACUGCAAUGUUUUUAUGGCACACAGGGCAUCAUAAAAAAGCAAGAGAAUAUGUUGACAGAAUGUUGAAAAUGUCCAAUGGUUCGAAAGAGGGAACUAUUUUACGUGGAUGUAUUGAUCUUACAAGUACACGAGAUUCUGCCAUUAAGAAAUCCAUAAAAUAUUUUGAUGAGGCUUUACAGGGAGAAUAUUGAUGCACUGUUUGGGAAGG